ACGAACGCUGGCGGCGUGCUUAACCCAUGCCAGUCGCACGGAAAGGCCCUGCUUUUGUGGGGUGCUCGAGUGGCGAACGGGUGAGUAACACGUGAGUAACCUGCCCUUGACUUUGGGAUAACUUCAGGAAACUGGGGCUAAUACCGGAUAGGAGCUCCUGCUGCAUGGUGGGGGUUGGAAAGUUUCGGCGGUUGGGGAUGGACUCGCGGCUUAUCAGCUUGUUGGUGGGGUAGUGGCUUACCAAGGCUUUGACGGGUAGCCGGCCUGAGAGGGUGACCGGCCACAUUGGGACUGAGAUACGGCCCAGACUCCUACGGGAGGCAGCAGUGGGGAAUAUUGCACAAUGGGCGGAAGCCUGAUGCAGCAACGCCGCGUGCGGGAUGACGGCCUUCGGGUUGUAAACCGCUUUCGCCUGUGACGAAGCGUGAGUGACGGUAAUGGGUAAAGAAGCACCGGCUAACUACGU
RNAcentral lists this ribosomal RNA (466 nucleotides) under uncultured bacterium. RNAcentral's name for it is "partial 16S ribosomal RNA". It matches the Rfam family "Bacterial small subunit ribosomal RNA", at positions 29 to 506 of the family's 1533-position model. The record is from RNAcentral.